This 253-nucleotide ribosomal RNA is filed under the name uncultured bacterium. RNAcentral's name for it is "partial 16S ribosomal RNA". It matches the Rfam family "Bacterial small subunit ribosomal RNA", at positions 524 to 776 of the family's 1533-position model. The record is from RNAcentral.
UACGUAGGGUGCAAGCGUUGUCCGGAAUUAUUGGGCGUAAAGAGCUCGUAGGCGGUCUGUCACGUCGGAUGUGAAAACUCGGGGCUCAACCCCGAGCCUGCAUACGAUACGGGCAGACUUGAGUUCGGCAGGGGAGACUGGAAUUCCUGGUGUAGCGGUGAAAUGCGCAGAUAUCAGGAGGAACACCGGUGGCGAAGGCGGGUCUCUGGGCCAUAACUGACGCUGAGAAGCGAAAGCAUGGGGAGCGAACAGG